RNAcentral lists this ribosomal RNA (693 nucleotides) under Mucor hiemalis. RNAcentral describes it as "eukaryotic LSU rRNA". It matches the Rfam family "Eukaryotic large subunit ribosomal RNA", at positions 56 to 654 of the family's 3401-position model. Lineage: Eukaryota; Fungi; Mucoromycota; Mucoromycetes; Mucorales; Mucoraceae. The record is from RNAcentral.
GAAAAGAAAAUAACAAUGAUUUCCCUAGUAACGGCGAGUGAAGAGGAAAGAGCUCAAAGUUGGAACCUGUUUGGCUUAGCUAAACCGGAUUGUAAACUGUAGAAGUGUUUUCCAGACACGCCUGGUAAAAAAGUCCUUUGGAACAGGGCAUCAUAGAGGGUGAGAAUCCCGUCAUUGGCCAGAGCUGUUGUCUUUUGUGAUACAUUUUCAAAGAGUCAGGUUGUUUGGGAAUGCAGCCUAAAUUGGGUGGUAAAUCUCACCUAAAGCUAAAUAUUUGCGAGAGACCGAUAGCGAACAAGUACCGUGAGGGAAAGAUGAAAAGAACUUUGAAAAGAGAGUUAAACAGUAUGUGAAAUUGUUAAAAGGGAACCGUUUGGAGCCAGACUGGCUUGAUCGUAAUCACUCUAGGCUUUGGCCUGGAUGCACUUGCGGUCUAUGCCGGCCAACGACAGUUUUGUUUGAGGGAAAAAAUUACAUUGAAUGUGGCCCCUCGGGGUGUUAUAGCUUUGUAAAAAAUACCUUGGACGGGACUGAGGAACGCAGUGAAUGCCUUUAGGCGAGAUUGCUGGGUGCUUGCGCUGAUACAUGCUAGAAUUUCUGCUUCGGGUGGUGCUAGUGUGUAAAGGAGUAACCCGCUUAGUAUAUUUUUUAUUCGCUUAGGUUGUUGGCUUAAUGACUCUAAAUGACCCGUCU